Molecule: long non-coding RNA, 223 nt
Filed under: Glycine max (soybean)
Lineage: Eukaryota; Viridiplantae; Streptophyta; Magnoliopsida; Fabales; Fabaceae
Description: long non-coding RNA (GMAX_LNC000345)
Source: RNAcentral
CAGUGAGCAAUUGAACUCGCUUCCUAUCUCAUUUGCUUCAUCUCUUACAUUUGUGAUUAGUUUGUUUGUUUUAUUCGUUCUCUCUUUAAUGCUAAGGGAAGGACCCUGUUUUAUUACUCAUCUCUGACAUUUAUUUUCCUUUUUUCGUUUUGUAUAAUAUUGGUGUAUACUUUUUCUUGACCGAGGCUUGCAAGUUGAUGCUGUAACAGCAAAAGGGGCUUGA